ACAGCUUAACUAUCAUGAAGACGCAAAUCAGGGGAUUUGAAAUUUACUUCCCUAGCCCCCUCUCGCACGGCCUCGUCCAGUUCUCUUUUCAGUUUUGACCAUGGCGCCAGAUCCAAAUGCCAAUGGUAGCGGCACGGUUCUGUUGAAGGAGCCAAAGAGCAAGAAGGAUGAAAAAAAGGAGGAAAAUCUGGUUGUGAAUUCGUGUACUGUGAUUGCUACGGUUUUACAAUUUUUUUCAUACCCAAUGCUCCGAGUUGUCGGAUGAAGAUUUGGUGCUGAAAAAGCAAUUAGAGUUGUAUGUGGAAAGGGUUCAAAAUCCUGAUCCUAGCUUGCAGAAGGUUGCGCUUGAGAGCAUGAGUUCACGUUUGAGAUUGAUGUGGAAGCUGUUGUGGGCAACGGAAGUUUUGGGCAAAGGAGAUGGUGGGCAACGAAUGGUGCGAAAUUAAUGGUGGGUAAAGGACUGGUGGUGGCAGAAUUGAUGACGACGGAUUUGGUGUCGUGCGGCAGUGCAAAGCGACGGUGCUGGUGCGAAUCGACACCGUCGAUUCGAUUUCUAUUCUGCUUCUAAGAGUUUACUAUAUAGUGUGAUGAGACUAUUGUAAUUUUUGUAGAAUUGCUGAUGGGGCGGAAUAUUAGUGGAGGCUGUUAAACCCAUACCUUCGGAUGGACCGCUUCAAAGCGGAACUCGUUUAAUAUUACCUUCUUUUCUUUUAUAUGUCCUUAAACGUCUUAAUUAAUUGCCACGACUUUGACUUAUAAAAACGGAUUCUUCGUCAAAGUCUACGGUACGUAAUGUAAUUCAAUCCUAACUUGUCCAUUAAUAUGAAUCUCAUCAUCUCCUUCCUCCUACUUUCUUCUUUCUCGAUCGUACAUAUAUUAUACAUAUAUAUAUUAUAGAUAUACGUAUGUAUUUCCCUCCCAUCUUGUGAUCUCAACCUUUAAUAUAUAUUCCCUCUCUCACAAAUUUCUUAGUCAAAGUCUAGAGUAUUAAUGUAAUUCAAUAAUUCCUUCGUCAAAGUCGACGGUAUUAAUUAAUGCAUGUCUUUUCCUCCGGCCAUCUUGUGAUCUCAACCUUAUAUAUAUAUACAUAGUAUUCUCAUGUGCUGUUCUUGCGUACUGUAACGAGAGAGAGAGAGAGAGAGAUCAUGAAGGUGUUGUGGUUUCUUGUACGCUUUUACUUUGUUUUUCUGCUGAUCUUCCUGCAUGCAUCCUUUGGUAGAACUGAAGCACUAGGCCGCGAGGGGCCCUAUGUCGGCCCGAUCAGAGGUAGUCCAUCACGUCCCAUCGGAAAGCCCGGAAGCCACCCAUGAGAUCAUCAAUCACAUGCACCGACCUUGCUAGUUCAAUAAAUCAAGCUACAUACUAAUUAAUAAUAUAUAUAUAUAUAUAUAUAUAUAAAUAGAUGUUUAAUAAAGAUCAGAUGAUGAAACAGCAGAUCAUAUAUAUAGGCUUAUAGCCUAGCUAUAUGCAGGCUGAGAUCCUUUAUUGUAUGAAGCUUAAUUUGCUUCUUUAUUUAGUGAGUUAAUUAUUUCCAUCUGUUAUUUUUGUUAAUCGAUCGAUCUUUUA
Molecule: long non-coding RNA, 1566 nt
Organism: Carya illinoinensis
Lineage: Eukaryota; Viridiplantae; Streptophyta; Magnoliopsida; Fagales; Juglandaceae
Exons: 3
Source: RefSeq, a predicted model, not a curated record